Small nuclear RNA from Oryctolagus cuniculus (rabbit), 107 nucleotides. NCBI's taxonomy places the organism in Eukaryota, Metazoa, Chordata, Mammalia, Lagomorpha, Leporidae. The record is from Ensembl.
GUGCUCACCUCAGCAGCACACAUAUUAAAAUUGGAAAGACACAAAGAAGAUUAGCAUGGCCUUUUCAUAAGGGUGAAAUGCACAUUUGUGAAACACUUCAUAUUUUU